This 75-nucleotide transfer RNA is filed under the name Clostridiaceae bacterium. RNAcentral's name for it is "tRNA-Val". It matches the Rfam family "tRNA". From Rfam's summary of the family: Transfer RNA (tRNA) molecules are approximately 80 nucleotides in length. Their secondary structure includes four short double-helical elements and three loops (D, anti-codon, and T loops). Lineage: Bacteria; Bacillati; Bacillota; Clostridia; Eubacteriales; Clostridiaceae. The record is from RNAcentral.
GGGGGAUUAACUCAGUGGGAGAGUGCUAUCUUCACACGGUAGAAGUCAUUGGUUCGAACCCAAUAUUCCCCACCA